This 3234-nucleotide ribosomal RNA is filed under the name Triticum aestivum (bread wheat). RNAcentral describes it as "partial small subunit ribosomal RNA". Lineage: Eukaryota; Viridiplantae; Streptophyta; Magnoliopsida; Poales; Poaceae. The record is from RNAcentral.
AUGGGAAAAUCAACCUUGGCACAAUAUGUUUACAAUGACAAGAGGGUAGAAGAAUAUUUUGAUGUCAGGAUGUGGGUCUGCAUCUCUCGCAAACUUGAUGUCUGUCGUCAUACAGAGGAAAUUUUCGAGUCCGCAACAAAGGGUGAAUGCCCACGUCUUGACAACCUUGACACUCUCCAGGGAAAACUAAUAGAUAAACUGCAAGAAUCAGGGAAAUUCCUGCUUGUUUUGGAUGAUAUUUGGUUUGAUGAUUCCAACAAUCAGAUGGAAUGGGACCAACUGCUAGCUCCUCUAGUUUCUCAGCAGGCUGGAAGCAAAGUUUUGGUAACCUCACGACGGGAUACAUUUUCGUCUGCUCUUUGUUGCAGUGAAGUAGUAUUUCGUUUGGAAAACAUGGAAGAUAGUCAGUUCCUAGCACUGUUCAAAUACCAUGCCUUCUCUGAACCAGAAAUCAGAGAUCCACAGUUGCGUGAAAAACAAGAAGAGGUUGCAGAGAAAAUCAUUAAAAGGCUUGGGAAAUCUCCUUUGGCUGCAAAAGUUGUGGGUUCCCAGUUGAAUGGAAAAACAAAUAUCAGUGCAUGGAAAGAUGCUCUAACUAUACAGAUUGACAACUUAAGUGAGCCCGGGAGAGCUCUGUUGUGGAGUUAUGAGAAGUUAGAUCCACGUAUACAGAGGUGCUUUCUUUAUUGCAGCUUAUUUCCAAAAGGCCACAAGUAUGACAUCGAGGAGUUGGUUCCCUUGUGGGUAGCAGAGGGAUUUGUCAAUUCAUGCAACAUGAGCAAGAGAAUGGAAGAUAUUGGAAGGGAUUACUUCAACGAGAUGGUUUCUGUUUCAUUCUUUCAACCAGUUUGGGAGGGAUAUACCAGAACACCCCAUGUUAUGCAUGAUCUCCUUCAUGAUUUGGCAGAGUCACUCUCGAAACAAGACUGCUUCAGAUUGGAAGAUGAUAAGGUGACGGAAAUACCAUGCACUGUUCGACAUCUCUCUGUUCGUGUUGAGAGUAUGAAACAACAUAAGCAAAGUAUCUGCAGGUUACAUCAUUUACGCACUGUUAUCUGCAUUGACCCAGUAACAGAUGACAUAAAUGAUGUUUUUAAUCAGAUACUGCAGAGACUGAAGAAGUUGCGUGUACUAUAUUUGUCAUUCUACAACAAGAGCAAGUUGCCAGAAUCUAUUGGUGAGCUGAAGCACCUUCGAUAUCUGAACAUCAUUAGAAGUUUGGUUUCUGAGCUGCCGAGGUCAUUAUGUCACCUGCAAUUUCUUCAGUUCAGUGAUAAAGUCCAUAGUUUGCCUGAGGUGCACUGCAACUUAAGUAAUUUACGUCAUCUUGGGAUGUAUGUUGAUAUGAUGGGCUCAAUAUACAAAUCAGAUCAUCUCCCGCAAAUUCCUAACAUAGGCAAGCUAACCUCACUCCAAAACCUUGAGGAUUUUUAUUUGCAGAAGCAGAAGGGAUAUGAGUUGCGACAGCUGGGGAACAUGAACGAGCUUGGUGGCAGUUUAAGUGUAAAAAAUCUUGACAUUGUUACUGGGAGGGAUGAAGCCUUGGAGGCGAAGCUACAUCAGAAAAGUCAUCUCAAAAGCCUGCAUUUUGCCUGGUGUUGCAGGGAUGAUGUUAGUGCAGAGGAUCGUUUACAUUUGGAGGUUUUAGAAGGUCUGAAGCCAUCGCCACAACUAUUGGCCCUUGCAAUCCAAGGUUAUAGAGCAGUGAAAUAUCCAAAUUGUUUGUUUGUGGAUUCGCAUUUUCAGAAUUUGGAAUCCUUUUCGCUUGCUGAUUGCAGUAUGUUGGAAGGCCUGCCAUCUAAUAUCGACCUCUUCAGCAAUUGCUGUUCACUUGUCCUCAAGAAUGUACCAAACCUGAAGAUAUUGCCUUGUCUUCCAGCUAGUAUUAAAAAGUUAAAAAUAAAAAUAUGUCCACUGCUUACCUUUAUUUCCAACUAUGAGCUGGGACAACAUGAUCAAAGUGAGAACAUCAAGAGGACUGACCAUGUGGAAUCAGAACUUGCUUCUGUAUAUGAAGUAUCUCAACCACCAACGAUUUUUUGGAAGGUACUGUCCUCUGAACAUUCAUCAUUUAAGCAGUUGAUCCCAUUGAUUGACACUGGUACAUCGUCACAUCUUCAAACCAUUGGAAAUGCUCUUGGAAGAUGGCCAGGUGAAAUAUUAGAUGUAAAAGAGGAUAUCAUCAAGGCAUGGAUAUGUUGCCACAAGCAGAGUAUAAGACUAAUUUAUGCAGGGACAGCAGAGCUGCCGCUGGUUCUACCAUCAAGACUUUGUGAACUUACUCUUUCUUCAUGCAAUAUUACAGAUGGAGCAUUAGCUGUUUGCCUUGAUGGUCUCACUUUACUGAAAAGACUGAGCUUAUCAAAGGUUAUGACUUUAACUACACUUUCGUCACAAGAGGUCCUCCAAUAUUCGACAAAGCUUUGUAACCUGAAAAUCAAAGAAUGCUGGUGUCUCCGAUCAUUACGGGGCAUACGAGCAGCUACCUCUCUUGAGCACCUUAGGCUGGCUUCCUGUCCUUCUUUGGAGUUGUCAAGUGGAGCAGAAAUUAUGCCAUUAUCCCUUCAGUGUCUAGAAAUACGGGAAUGCAUGCUUGCAGCUGACUUCUUCUGUGGUGACUGGCCACACUUGACAUAUAUUUUCAUAUGGGGUUGUAGAAGCACUCCGACCUUGUCCUUUGGUAGUCUAACCUCCCUUGAAGAUUUAUCACUUUAUUAUCUGCCAGAUUUGUGCACGCUUGAAGGAUUGGCUUCCCUGCAACUUCAUAGUCUAGUUUUAACAAAUGUUCCCAGUCUCACCACCGAGUGCAUCUCACAGUUUCGAGUCCAGAAAUCACUCCAAGUCAGCAGUUCUGUGAUGCUCAACCACAUGCUCUCGGCUGAAGGUUUUACAGUCCCCCCACGUCUCAAUAUCAUCGGCUGCAAGGAACCAUCCAUUUCAUUUGAAGAAUCUGCAAACUUCACAUCCGUCGUGUGGCUGCAAUUCUAUAUGUGUGAAAUGAGGUCCCUACCAACAAAUCUGAAGUGCUUCUCCAGUCUCACGGAUCUCCAAAUUCUACACUGUUACAACAUAUCAUCUCUACCAGAUCUGCCACCCUCCCUCCGGCGCAUACGUAUAGUGAAUUGUGGUCUCCUGGAGAAGAGCUGUCGCGCACCUGAUGGAGAAAGCUGGCCAAAAAUUGCGCAUAUCCGUUGGAAGGAUAUCGAUUCAGGCGUGGUUCGCAACUACAAGUGA